Molecule: ribosomal RNA, 253 nt
Filed under: uncultured bacterium
Lineage: Bacteria
Description: partial 16S ribosomal RNA
Rfam family: Bacterial small subunit ribosomal RNA
Source: RNAcentral
UACGAAGGGGGCUAGCGUUGCUCGGAUUGACUGGGCGUAAAGGGCGCGUAGGCGGUUCGUACAGUCAGACGUGAAGUUCCUGGGCUCAACCUGGGGGCUGCGUUUGAUACGUGCGGACUUGAGUGCGGAAGAGGGUCGUGGAAUUCCCAGUGUAGAGGUGAAAUUCGUAGAUAUUGGGAAGAACACCGGUGGCGAAGGCGGCGACCUGGUCCGAUACUGACGCUGAGGCGCGAAAGCGUGGGGAGCAAACAGG